RNAcentral lists this long non-coding RNA (685 nucleotides) under Fukomys damarensis (Damara mole-rat). Its description in RNAcentral is "lncRNA (ENSFDAG00000030704.1)". The record is from RNAcentral. Lineage: Eukaryota; Metazoa; Chordata; Mammalia; Rodentia; Bathyergidae.
ACUCUGGGGCCGCUGCUCACCAGAGAUCCUCCCCGAAGCCGUGGUCGCCACAGGCUCAGAGGAGACAAAGUUCUAGAAGGCAGAUCCAAUGCAGGCUGGUGGAGUGAACACAUCUGACAUGAGGCUCCUGCUGGCUUUGUUCCUGUUCGUGGCCCUGAGCCUGGGCCUGCAGCAUGUGGAGACAGAUAACCGGACCAAAAGGCAAGAUGCUCUUAUGUGUCACAUCUGUGAAAGUGAGAAUAACUUUGGCUGUUCAAACCGGGGGAAUUGUGCAGUACAUGAAAAGUAUUGUGUAAUCGUUGUCACAAAAAUACUUCGACGUUUCUUCAUUGUUUCAAAGCAGUGUGUUGCUUAUUGUCCAGCUGUUCAGACCUUUGCCUCUGAACCUGCCAAGCCAUUUUUACUGGAAAAGCCCAUGCCCUUCCUAUACAUAAGAUGCUGUACAGAAUCUUUAUGCAAUAUGGAGGGACCUGAUGUCUCAGAAGACACAUUCCGAGAGCAGGUUGGAAGAGCCUACAAGAAGAAGUGCAGCCACAUAGUGUCCACCCUCCUCACAGUCUUGUCCACUGCCUUUGCAGGCUUGGGCAAGCUCUGAGAUGCAGGGACCUGUGCUGUCUUCUGUAGCAUGAAUUCACUGCUGAUUGUCAGCACCUGUUGCAUUAAACUUACUUUCCAUUGAAAGGCA